GGCGCAGAAGGUAGAGG
RNAcentral lists this unclassified non-coding RNA (17 nucleotides) under Mus musculus (house mouse). Its description in RNAcentral is "oocyte_clustered_small_RNA2923". The record is from RNAcentral. Lineage: Eukaryota; Metazoa; Chordata; Mammalia; Rodentia; Muridae.